This is a non-coding RNA of Pangasianodon gigas (Mekong giant catfish), 74 nucleotides long. Lineage: Eukaryota; Metazoa; Chordata; Actinopteri; Siluriformes; Pangasiidae. The record is from the annotation of a GenBank genome assembly.
UACUAAUUUGCUCAGUGGCUAAGAUGUCAGACUUCUGAUCGAAAGGUCGUGAGUUCAAAUCUCAGCAAUGCCAA